This is a long non-coding RNA of Oncorhynchus tshawytscha (Chinook salmon), 2200 nucleotides long. NCBI's taxonomy places the organism in Eukaryota, Metazoa, Chordata, Actinopteri, Salmoniformes, Salmonidae. The record is from Ensembl.
UGACAUUGAUAUGACAUGAAUUUAUUUUUUAAAAGUCUGCCAGCCACCAUCUUGCAGAUGUACCUCAGCACAGGUAGUCUCCAAUGAAGACUGACAUCAACAAAGUCCGUAGGCUGUAAAGGUUCAAUUUACGGUCAUUCAAAGUUAACUUAAUAUCUAUUCAUGUGCACAAUUUCAUAAAAAGGUAUAUGGUAUGGGACAUUGGAAGAAUUGUACAAUUUCAAUAGCAUUAUAAUGAAAAUGUAUUUCACAAUAUAAUUUCAAGUACAUGUGAUGGUGAAUGCAAAGAUUUACACCAAGUGUGAGAACGAACAGGUUCGUUAAACAAAAAUCAAUUCUGACAUUUCACUAUCAAUCAUGUUACUAGUAUGCAAAAUCACAUUUCACCAUCAAUCAUGUUACUAGUAUGCAAAAUCACAUUUCACCAUGGAAUUAAAUUGACAUCAAAAGUAUUUUUGUUGCUGCAUUUUAGAUAACCCUUUCCCUUUUCCUAACCUUAACCUGCUCCUCUUAACCUGCUAUGUUAAUUAUCCUGACCUUAACCUACUCCUCUUAACCUGCUACGUUAAUUCUCCUAACCUUAACCUACUCCUCUUAACCUGCUAUGUAAAUUCUCCUAACCUUAACCUACUCCUCUUAACCUGCUAUGCUAAUUCUCCUAACCUUAACCUACUCCUCUUAACCUGCUACGUUAAUUCUCCUAACCUGCUACGAAAAAUACAUUUUUGACAAAAGUUGCUAUGUUACCAUACCCGGUCCACUAGGUGGUUGCUAUGUUACCAUACCCGGUCUGCUAGGUGGUUGAUAUGUUACCAUACCCGGUCCGCUAGGUGGUUGCUAUGUUACUAUACCCGGUCUGCUAGGUGGUUGCUAUGUUACCAUACCCGGUCUGCUAGGUGGUUGAUAUGGUACCAUACCCGGUCUGCUAGGUGGUUGCUACAUUCACAGUAUUAGGCAAGACUGCAUUCUCUUCCUGGGCACCAGAGGCAAAGAAUAAUCUACAAUCCAUGCUUCAUCUAGAUAUGUUAGUGGCACUGAAUGGAUUUAAAAUAUUGAUGGGAGACUCUUACAGAGAGUAAAUGCUUUUUUUUUAUGUUGUUCAAACAUUCAUAGAUGACCUGCAGGGUCAGAUAAUAAUAACACAGUGGUUGUCGAGGGUGCAACAGGUCAGCACCUCAGGAGUAAAUGUCAGUUGGCUUUUCAAAGCCGAUCUUUCAGAGUUAGAGACAGCAGGUGCGGUAGAUAGAGAGUCGAAACAGAAGGUCUGGGACAGGUAGCACGUCCGGUGAACAAGUCAGGGUUCCAUAGCCACAGGCAGAACAGUUGAAACUGGAGCAGCAGCACAGCCAGGUGGACUGGGGACAGCAAGGAGUCAUCAGGCCAGGUAGUCCUGAGGCAUGGUCCUAGGGCUCAGGUCCUCCGAGAGAGAGAAAGAAAAAAAAAAUACAGAGAAUUAGAGGGAGCAUACUUAAAUUCACACAGGACACCGGAUAAGACAGGAGAAAUACUCCAGAUAUACUGCAGCAUAAAUACUGGAGGCUGAGACAGGAGGGGUCAGGAUCAAAUCAAAUCAAAUUUUAUUUGUCACAUAGACAUGGUUAGCAGAUGUUAAUGCGAGUGUAGCGAAAUGCUUGUGCUUCUAGUUCCGACAAUGCAGUAAUAACCAACAAGUAAUCUAACUAACAAUUUCAAAACUACUGUCUUAUACACAGUGUAAGGGGAUAAAGAAUAUGUACAUAAGGAUAUAUGAAUGAGUGAUGGUACAGAGCAGCAUAGGCAAGAUACAGUAGAUGGUAUCGAGUACAGUAUAUACAUAUGAGAUGAGUAUGUAAACAACGUGGCAUAGUUAAAGUGGCUAGUGAUACAUGUAUUACAUAAGGAUGCAGUCGAUGAUAUAGAGUACAGUAUAUAUACGUAUGCAUAUGAGAUGAAUAAUGUAGGGUAAGUAACAUUAUAUAAGGAAGCAUUGUUUAAAGUGGCUAGUGAUAUAUUUACAUCAUUUCCCAUCAAUUCCCAUUAUUAAAGUGGCUGGAGUUGAGUCAGUGUCAGUGUGUUGGCAGCAGCCACUCAAUGUUAGUGGUGGCUGUUUAACAGCCUGAUGGCCUUGAGAUAGAAGCUGUUUUUCAGUCUCUCGGUCCCAGCUUUGAUGCACCUGUACUGACCUCGCCUUCUGGAUGAUAGCGGGGUGAACAGGCAGUGG